GGGAGGAUGGAGAGUGAUUUGGGGUUUUGGGUCGGGCUCUAGUGUGAUCAACUGCAGAAGCAUUACACCGUGGCCUGGUUUCUUUACUCAGCCCCUGGGGUAGAUCCCAGCCCCCCGCAUAGGUCCUUUUGCUGGAAAAGGAAGAUGGAGUGGUGGGACAAAUCUGAGGAGUCGUUGGAGGAGGAGCCACGGAAGGUGCUCGCCCCUGAGCCUGAGGAGAUCUGGGUGGCGGAGAUGCUGUGUGGCCUCAAGAUGAAGCUGAAGCGACGGCGAGUGUCGCUCGUGCUCCCUGAGCACCACGAGGCCUUCAACAGGCUGCUUGAGGAUCCUGUCAUUAAAAGAUUCCUGGCCUGGGACAAAGGUCUGAGGGUGUCGGACAAGUAUCUCCUGGCUAUGGUCAUAGUGUAUUUCAGCCGGGCCGGCCUCCCCUCCUGGCAAUACCAAUGCAUUCAUUUCUUCCUGGCUCUCUACCUGGCCAAUGACAUGGAGGAGGACGACGAGGACCCCAAACAAAACAUCUUCUACUUCCUGUAUGGGAAGACCCGCUCUCGCAUACCCUUGCUCCGUAAGCGUCGGUUCCAGUUAUGCCGUUGCAUGAACCCGAGGGCCAGGAAGAACCGCUCUCAGAUAGUCCUGUUCCAGAAACUUCGGUUCCAGUUCUUCUGUUCCAUGAGCUGCAGGGCUUGGGUUUCCCCGGAGGAGUUGGAGGAGAUCCAGGCUUAUGACCCAGAGCACUGGGUGUGGGCGCGAGAUCGCGCUCGCCUUUCCUAGAGCUCCAGGGACCGUGGAGGCCUGAGGUCAUCGGCCUGAGAGAAGAACACCGGACCCAGGGGAGAUGUGGAUUUUCAGCAGGAACUUUAUUCCAAUGCUAAUGGCAGACACCAGGAAGAAGGAGAGGAACCAUUUGUGCAGAUCAUCUAGAAGAACCUGGACCAUUCUUGAUGGAGCUGAAUACAGUGAUCAUGUUGUCCUACCUAGGAGCAGGGGGAGGGGGGUGGGGUCCUUCUAGGAGUCCUUGGAGAAAAGUAAGAAACCAGGAGUGUUUCCAGUUCCACCCUUUCCUG
This 1064-nucleotide long non-coding RNA is filed under the name Homo sapiens (human). RNAcentral's name for it is "novel transcript". Lineage: Eukaryota; Metazoa; Chordata; Mammalia; Primates; Hominidae. The record is from RNAcentral.